GGUGGCGAAUGAUGAUAUAAGUCUUGUCCUACACACUGAUUAUCUGUGUUGACAACAAACUCCGCUUAUUAUCUGAUGCCAUU
Andrographis paniculata is the source of this 83-nucleotide small nucleolar RNA. RefSeq annotates it as small nucleolar RNA R16. The record is from RefSeq and is a predicted model, not a curated record. NCBI's taxonomy places the organism in Eukaryota, Viridiplantae, Streptophyta, Magnoliopsida, Lamiales, Acanthaceae. The transcript has a single exon.